CCCUCUUACCCAAAACCCUCAAAAACAUGAAAAUCAUGAAAUCUAUCCAGGGGGGACGACACUAGUUUUUAAGCCGACUUUUUUAAUAAUAUUCGCAAAAAUGUCAAGCUAACCUAAUUAAUUUGUUUUGCCCAACUUAUUCCUGGACAUCCCUAUUUAUCCGCUUUUAUCCUCAUAAAACCUGAAAAAGCCAAAAAAAAGUCGCUCGGUUGUCAAAAUCUUUUUUCGACUUUUUCAUUCCUUUUUUUUUUUUGUUUGUUUAUGUUUUUUCUACCAGCGAAAUUGUAUAAUUUUGAUAAUUUUUCCUCGAAGCAUAUUUAAUACCAGCGGGAAUGACCGCUGCCGUCGUCGUCGGUUCUGUCGUGUUUUGGGGCCUUUCCGGUGAGUGAGGUAGCUCAAGUUUACGGCAGAGGCGAAGUCAGAUCACCGGAUAGCACAACUUCGGGACCUGCUUCCUAAAUACGCUGUUCCAGGCCUUGGCGACUUGUCUACAGUUCAUCACUCGGCUGCAGUUACACAACACCAAGGACAAGAGAACGUUUUCAAUGGAUCGCAUCCGACGUAGCGCCGCGAUCCAUAUUCUCCGGGAUCAGUUAUCUGGGCCCUAAACGGAGGAGGUAACUAAACCGAAGAUGAUCGGCUGUCUGUCGGAUGGCCUGGAGGAAGAGGAACUUAGGGUCAUGAUGCCAGGCCGUCCAGUGCCAGCGCGACGUAUCCACGAACUUGAAACGCUACGUCCGUUUCGUCUAGUCUGAAGCGCACACUCCGGAUUCACCGCUCUCAACUUGCACGGGAACGGAGGAUUCAAUGGCGGGCCUGGAGGGGUCACUAAUGGACUGCGCCGGAACACCGUCAUCGAUCAUUCCCAAGCUCUUCGAGCGACCGAGCAAGCCGAAACUGGACAAGCGAUCACCUGGGUGGUGCCGAUCUCUGUGGGUGUGCCCCGGGAGGGUAUAGAUCUGGACAGACCGGAAGCAGAUCCAGGCUUUCCAUCCAUUCCGAACCGUCAACUUUGCUGAAACAAAUCCGUGGUCAGAUGCGACAAGUUCAAAACUUGUGUGACGCUGCCGCUUCCGGAAGUUAAGAUUGUUAGGUACUCUAUUUACUUGUCUGAAAUAAAGGCUACUAUAAUCCAAAGUAUGAA
This is a long non-coding RNA of Aedes albopictus (Asian tiger mosquito), 1144 nucleotides long. RefSeq lists it as uncharacterized. NCBI's taxonomy places the organism in Eukaryota, Metazoa, Arthropoda, Insecta, Diptera, Culicidae. The transcript is spliced from 2 exons. The record is from RefSeq and is a predicted model, not a curated record.